This 452-nucleotide ribosomal RNA is filed under the name uncultured organism. RNAcentral describes it as "partial 16S ribosomal RNA". It matches the Rfam family "Bacterial small subunit ribosomal RNA", at positions 333 to 801 of the family's 1533-position model. The record is from RNAcentral.
ACACUCCUGCGGGAGGCAGCAGUGGGGAAUAUUGGACAAUGGGCGCAAGCCUGAUCCAGCCAUGCCGCGUGAGUGAUGAAGGCCCUAGGGUUGUAAAGCUCUUUCACCGGUGAAGAUAAUGACGGUAACCGGAGAAGAAGCCCCGGCUAACUUCGUGCCAGCAGCCGCGGUAAUACGAAGGGGGCUAGCGUUGUUCGGAUUUACUGGGCGUAAAGCGCACGUAGGCGGACUAUUAAGUCAGGGGUGAAAUCCCGGGGCUCAACCCCGGAACUGCCUUUGAUACUGGUAGUCUUGAGUUCGAGAGGGGUGAGUGGAAUUCCGAGUGUAGGGGUGAAAUUCGUAGAUAUUCGGAGGAACACCAGUGGCGAAGGCGGCUCACUGGCUCGAUACUGACGCUGAGGUGCGAAAGCGUGGGGAGCAAACAGGAUUAGAUACCCUUGUAGUCCCAUGAU